Molecule: ribosomal RNA, 300 nt
Filed under: uncultured bacterium
Lineage: Bacteria
Description: bacterial SSU rRNA
Rfam family: Bacterial small subunit ribosomal RNA
Source: RNAcentral
CACGUAAGAAUCUACCUUUUGGCGAGGGACAACCACUGGAAACGGUGGCUAAUACCUCAUAUAACUGAGAAGUGAAAGAUGAAAAUCACCAAGAGAUGAGCUUGCGUCUGAUUAGCUAGUUGGUAAGGUAAAGGCUUACCAAGGCGACGAUCAGUAGCUGGUCUGAGAGGAUGAUCAGCCACACUGGGACUGAGACACGGCCCAGACUCCUACGGGAGGCAGCAGUGGGGAAUAUUGGACAAUGGGCGCAAGCCUGAUCCAGCCAUACCGCGUGUGUGAAGAAGGCCCUAGGGUUGUAAA